CAACGGGUGAGUAACACGUGGGCAACCUGCCCAAAAGAGGGGGAUAACACUUGGAAACAGGUGCUAAUACCGCAUAGCCAUAGUUACCGCAUGGUAACUAUGUAAAAGGUGGCUAUGCUACCGCUUUUGGAUGGGCCCGCGACGCAUUAGCUAGUUGGUGGGGUAAAGGCUUACCAAGGCAAUGAUGCGUAGCCGAACUGAGAGGUUGACCGGCCACAUUGGGACUGAGACACGGCCCAAACUCCUACGGGAGGCAGCAG
This 260-nucleotide ribosomal RNA is filed under the name uncultured bacterium. RNAcentral describes it as "partial 16S ribosomal RNA". It matches the Rfam family "Bacterial small subunit ribosomal RNA", at positions 100 to 354 of the family's 1533-position model. The record is from RNAcentral.